This 380-nucleotide ribosomal RNA is filed under the name uncultured eukaryote. RNAcentral's name for it is "partial 18S ribosomal RNA". It matches the Rfam family "Eukaryotic small subunit ribosomal RNA", at positions 592 to 976 of the family's 1831-position model. The record is from RNAcentral.
CAAUAGCGUAUAUUAAAGUUGUUGCGGUUAAAAAGCUCGUAGUUGGAGUUCUGCCAGGUGCCGCCUGUCCGCCCCAGUGGUGAGUACGUGGCGCGCAUUUGGCCCUUUCAAGGGGAGCGUAUCUGCACUUUAUUGUGUGGUGCGGGAUCCUUGACUUUUACUUUGAGGAAAUAGGAGUGUUCCAAGCAGGCUCUCGUCGUGCACAGCUCAGCAUGGAAUAAUAGCAUUGGACCUCGAUUCUAAGCUGUUGGUUGCCAGAAGCGAGGUAAUGAUGAAGAGGGAUAGUUGGGGGCAUUCGUAUUUAACUGUCAGAGGUGAAAAUCUUGGAUUUGUUAAAGACGGACUACUGCGAAAGCAUCUGCCAUGGAUGUUUUCAUUGA